This 872-nucleotide ribosomal RNA is filed under the name uncultured bacterium. RNAcentral's name for it is "bacterial SSU rRNA". It matches the Rfam family "Bacterial small subunit ribosomal RNA", at positions 42 to 890 of the family's 1533-position model. The record is from RNAcentral.
GCGUGCCUCAGACAUGCAAGUCGAACGCGAAAGCCUCCUUCGGGGGGCAAGUAGAGUGGCGCACGGGUGAGUAACACGUAGGUAAUCUACCUUUGGAUUGGGAAUAACCACCGGAAACGGUGGCUAAUACCGAAUAAUGCAGCGGCACCUAAUGGUGACAGUUGUUAAAGCGGGGGAUCGCAAGACCUCGCGUCUGAAGAGGAGCCUGCGGCAGAUUAGCUAGUUGGUAAGGUAACGGCUUACCAAGGCGAUGAUCUGUAGCCGGCCUGAGAGGGCGGUCGGCCACACUGACACUGACAUACGGGUCAGACUCCUACGGGAGGCAGCAGUCGGGAAUUUUGGGCAAUGGGCGAAAGCCUGACCCAGCAACGCCGCGUGAAGGAUGAAAUCCCUCGGGAUGUAAACUUCGCAAGAACGGGAAGAAUAAGUAAGGGUUAAUAUCUCUUACGAUGACGGUACUGUUUGUAAGCUCCGGCUAACUCCGUGCCAGCAGCCGCGGUAAUACGGGGGGAGCAAGCGUUGUUCGGAUUUACUGGGCGUAAAGGGCGCGUAGGCGGCCACCGCAAGUCGACUGUGAAAUCUCCGGGCUUAACCCGGAAAGGUCAGCCGAUACUGCGGGGCUAGAGUGCAGAAGGGGCAACUGGAAUUCUCGGUGUAGCGGUGAAAUGCGUAGAUAUCGAGAGGAACACCUGCGGCGAAGGCGGGUUGCUGGGCUGACACUGACGCUGAGGCGCGAAAGCUAGGGGAGCGAACGGGAUUAGAUACCCCGGUAGUCCUAGCCUUAAACGAUGAAUGCUUGGUGUCUGGGGUUUUAUAGUCCCCGGGUGCCGUCGCUAACGCUUUAAGCAUUCCGCCUGGGGAGUACGGUCGCA